AUACGUAGGGUGCGAGCGUUGUCCGGAAUUACUGGGCGUAAAGAGCUCGUAGGUGGUUUGUCGCGUCGUCUGUGAAAUUCCGGGGCUUAACUCCGGGCGUGCAGGCGAUACGGGCAUAACUUGAGUACUGUAGGGGAGACUGGAAUUCCUGGUGUAGCGGUGAAAUGCGCAGAUAUCAGGAGGAACACCGGUGGCGAAGGCGGGUCUCUGGGCAGUAACUGACGCUGAGGAGCGAAAGCAUGGGUAGCGAACAGGAUUAGAUACCCUGGUAGUCCGUGCCGUAAACGGUGGGCGCUAGGUGUAGGGGUCUUCCACGACUUCUGUGCCGUAGCUAACGCAUUAAGCGCCCCGCCUGGGGAGUACGGCCGCAAGGCUAAAACUCAAAGGAAUUGACGGGG
Molecule: ribosomal RNA, 398 nt
Filed under: uncultured bacterium
Lineage: Bacteria
Description: partial 16S ribosomal RNA
Rfam family: Bacterial small subunit ribosomal RNA
Source: RNAcentral